AAACCUUCUAUACGUAGACCAACCUAUUGGUACUGGCUUUAGUUAUAGCUCUGACCGAAGGGACAUUCGUCAUAAUGAAGACGAAGUUAGCAAUGACCUUUAUGACUUUUUACAGGUUAGUCUGUUUAUCAUUGGAUCUUAUUCUGGAAGAAAAGGAGUUUAGCAUAAUUAUUUACUCUCCAUUGAACUAUUAUUGUCAAUAUUGUGGAAGUGAAUAAACUUCAUUCAAUUUGUUAGAGAAAAAUGAAUAAAUUUGUUGUUUUGACUGUGCUCUUUUUAUUAUGUUAGGCAUUCUUUGCUGAACACCCUGAGUUGGCCAAGAAUGACUUUUAUAUAACUGGAGAAUCGUAUGCUGGGCACUAUAUUCCAGCUUUUGCUGCCCGAGUCCACCGAGGAAACAAAGCUAAAGAUGGAAUUCAUAUAAACCUGAAGG
This 433-nucleotide long non-coding RNA is filed under the name Gossypium barbadense (sea-island cotton). RNAcentral's name for it is "long non-coding RNA (GBAR_LNC004825)". The record is from RNAcentral. Lineage: Eukaryota; Viridiplantae; Streptophyta; Magnoliopsida; Malvales; Malvaceae.